CCCUUAGAUGUCCUGGGCUGCACGCGCGCUACACUGGAAGUUACGGAUUGAGAUACCACCUUGUCCGAAAUGGUCCGGGUAAUCACCUAAAAGCUUGUCAUAAUUGGAAUGGAUUAUUGUAACUAGUAAUCCUGAACGAGGAAUUCCUAGUAAGUCCCAGUCAACAGCUGGUACUGAUUACGUCCCUGCCCUUUGUACACACCGCCCGUCGCUACUACUGAUUGGACGUUUAAGCAAGAUUUUUAAACACUGACAGUGUGUAGUUCACGCUAUACUACAGUGAGAAGAAGAAGAUCGAGCUUACUUGUCUAGAGGAAGUAAAAGUCGUAACA
RNAcentral lists this ribosomal RNA (332 nucleotides) under uncultured eukaryote. RNAcentral's name for it is "partial 18S ribosomal RNA". It matches the Rfam family "Eukaryotic small subunit ribosomal RNA", at positions 1470 to 1796 of the family's 1831-position model. The record is from RNAcentral.